AGGGCGUAUGGGGAAUGCCUAGGCACACUCCGGCGAAGAAGGACGCAGCAAACAGCGAAAUGCGACGGUGAGCGGUAAGCACGUGAAGAGCCGUCGAUAUCCGAAUGGGGGAACCCACACGGAGUCAUAUCCGUGUAUCACAUGUCGAAUACAUAGACAUGAUGAGGCGAGACGCAGGGAACUGAAACAUCUAAGUACCUGCAGGAAGAGAAAAUAAGAAUGAUUUUCUGAGUAGCGGCGAGCGAAAGGGAAAGAGCCCAAACCGAUCUGAGGAUCGGGGUAGUAGGAUCAUCGAUAAAUCAAACAGAGGAUCAUAGAGGAAUCACAUGGGAAGGUGAGCGAGAGAGGGUGAGAGCCCCGUACUCGAAAUGAGAGACUGGAGAGAGAUGACACCUGAGUAGGGCGGGACACGAGAAAUCCUGUCUGAAUCAGCCGGGACCAUCCGGCAAGGCUAAAUACGAGAGAGUGACCGAUAGUGAACCAGUACCGUGAGGGAAAGGUGAAAAGAACCCCGGGAGGGGAGUGAAAGAGAACCUGAAACCAUAUGCCUACAAGAAGUCAGAGCCCGUUAAAGGGUGAUGGCGUGCCUUUUGUAGAAUGAACCGGCGAGUUACUGUAUGGAGCGAGGUUAAGCAGGAUAUGCGGAGCCGAAGCGAAAGCGAGUCUUAAGAGGGCGCGAGUUGCAUGCAGUAGACCCGAAACCGGGUGAUCUAGCCAUGACCAGGUUGAAGUUGGGGUAAAACCCGAUGGAGGACCGAACCGACCCCCGUUGAAACGUUGGCGGAUGAGUUGUGGCUAGGGGUGAAAUUCCAAUCGAACCCGGAGAUAGCUGGUUCUCCCCGAAAUAGCUUUAGGGCUAGCGUCGAGAGAAGAGUUGCGUGAAGGUAGAGCACUGAAUAUGUGAUGGCCCCAUCUCGGGGUACUGAGCAUAAUCAAACUGCGAAUGUCACGCCAACAUGCUCGGCAGUCAGACAGCGGGUGAUAAGGUCCGUUGUCAAGAGGGAAACAGCCCAGACCAUCAGCUAAGGUCCCAAAAUGUAUGCUAAGUGGAAAAGGAUGUGGAGAUGUACAGACAACUAGGAGGUUGGCUCAGAAGCAGCCAUCCUUUAAAGAGUGCGUAACAGCUCACUAGUCGAAUGACUCUGCGCCGAUAAUUUACCGGGGCUAAGCAUACUACCGAAGCUAUGGAUCCCAAGGGAUGGUAGGGGAGCGUUCCAUGAACGGAGAAGUACGACCGAAAGGACGUGUGGAGAUCAUGGAAGAGAGAAUGCCGGUGUGAGUAGCGGAACGUGGGUGAGAAUCCCACGCACCGAAAACCCAAGGUUUCCAGAGGAAGGUUCGUCCGCUCUGGGUAAGUCGGGACCUAAGGCGAGGCCGAAAGGCGUAGUCGAUGGACAACAGGUAGAGAUUCCUGUACCCGUAUAUAUGUGAAGGAAUGACGGAGAGAGGAAGCUGCAGCCAGCGGCUGGAAGAGCUGGUGCAAGCGAGAUAUCGGGAUGGCAGGCAAAUCCACCAUCCGAAACGAGAAGGCGUGAAGCGUACGGAAAGCUACGGCGAGUACGGAAGGCAGUGGAGGAACUUCCAAGAAAAGUUUCUAACGUUAAGUAUAUAUGGCCCGUACCGAAAAUGGACACACAUGGGUGAGGAGAGAAUCCUAAGGUGAGCGAGAGAACUAUAGCUAAGGAACUCUGCAAAAUGACUCCGUAACUUAGGGAGAAGGAGUGCUCAUAGAGAUAUGAGCCGCAGUGAAACGGCCCAAGCGACUGUUUACCAAAAACACAGCUCUCUGCUAAGCCGCAAGGCGAAGUAUAGGGGGUGACGCCUGCCCGGUGCUGGAAGGUUAAGGGGAGGGGUUAACGCAAGUGAAGCCCUGAACUGAAGCCCCAGUAAACGGCGGCCGUAACUAUAACGGUCCUAAGGUAGCGAAAUUCCUUGUCAGGUAAGUUCUGACCCGCACGAAAGGCGUAACGAUUUGGGCGCUGUCUCAGCUGUAGACUCGGUGAAGUCUUAGUACCUGUGAAGAUGCAGGUUACCCGCGACUAGACGGAAAGACCCCAUGGAGCUUCACUGCAGGUUGAUAUUGGGAUUUGAUGCAGCAUGUACAGGAUAGGUAGGAGGCAAAGAGAUGGAUACGCCAGUAUUCAAGGAGCCGCUGUUGGGAUACUACCCCUGUUGUAUUGGAUUUCUAACCGGACGACGUAGAGCCGUUGACGGGACAGUGUCAGUCGGGCAGUUUGACUGGGGCGGUCGCCUCCCAAAGAGUAACGGAGGCGCCCAAAGAUACCCUCAGCUUGGAUGGAAACCAAGCGCAGAGUGCAAAGGCAAAAGGGUGUUUGACUGCGAGA
This 2345-nucleotide ribosomal RNA is filed under the name human gut metagenome. RNAcentral describes it as "bacterial LSU rRNA". It matches the Rfam family "Bacterial large subunit ribosomal RNA", at positions 14 to 2380 of the family's 2925-position model. The record is from RNAcentral.